Molecule: small nuclear RNA, 82 nt
Filed under: Canis lupus familiaris (dog)
Lineage: Eukaryota; Metazoa; Chordata; Mammalia; Carnivora; Canidae
Also listed under: 1 other name
Description: U4 spliceosomal RNA
Rfam family: U4 spliceosomal RNA
About the family: U4 small nuclear RNA (U4 snRNA) is a component of the major U2-dependent spliceosome.
Source: Rfam by way of RNAcentral
AGCUUUGCAUAGUAGCAGUAUUGUAGCCAAUGAGGUUUAUCCGAGGCGCGAUUAUUGCUAAUUGAAAAAGCUGCCCAAAUAG